This 433-nucleotide ribosomal RNA is filed under the name uncultured bacterium. RNAcentral describes it as "partial 16S ribosomal RNA". It matches the Rfam family "Bacterial small subunit ribosomal RNA", at positions 29 to 507 of the family's 1533-position model. The record is from RNAcentral.
AACGAACGCUGGCGGCAUGCCUAACACAUGCAAGUCGAACGAGACCUUCGGGUCUAGUGGCGCACGGGUGCGUAACGCGUGGGAACCUGCCCUUAGGUUCGGAAUAACUCCCCGAAAGGGGUGCUAAUACCGGAUAAUGUCUUCGGACCAAAGAUUUAUCGCCUUUGGAUGGGCCCGCGUUGGAUUAGCUAGUUGGUAGGGUAAAAGCCUACCAAGGCGACGAUCCAUAGCUGGUCUGAGAGGAUGAUCAGCCACACUGGGACUGAGACACGGCCCAGACUCCUACGGGAGGCAGCACUGGGGAAUAUUGGAAAAUGGGCGAAAGCAUGAUCCAGCAAUGCCGCGUGAGUGAUGAAGGCCUUAGGGUUGUAAAGCUCUUUUAACCGGGAUGAUAAUGACAGUACCGGGAGAAUAAGCGCCGGCUAACUCCGUG